ACUUACAGAAGACUGCAUCAGAGUUCCCUUAUUGGUUUGAAAUUCCAUUAAAUAUAUUGCAAGAGCUCCUAGGUUAAGCUUGAUUUAAAUUUGCAUACAUUUUCAUAUAUUUAGCAGAAAUAAAAGAAGGCUUGCAGCUACCAGAAAGUCAUUAAGGCAUUAGUUUCUCUGAGAAGACAGAUCUGGAGAAAAUUCAAGAAAAUGAAUAUAUAUAGAUAGAUAGAUAGAUAGAUAUAAACAGAGGUUAGCUUCUUCUGAUUCCUUUAUAGGUGGAGUGGAAGACAAUGCCUGCAUUUAUGGUUAACUAUAAGUGAUACACUAGGAAGAUGAUGGUAUUCAGACAAACACAAACAAUUUGAUUCAGACAGAUUGGAUACAAGUUUUCAACCAGCAUAAGGAGAACAGGGACACAGCACCAAAUCCUGCCCUCUCUGCCAAGAGUACAAGAUGAAUUUUCCUGAGGUGGUACCAUAGGGGAGAUUUCAGGACAAUUUCUAGAAGACUACACAGAACAACUUGGAUCCCAGUGAGAAUGAAUAGACCUGACUUACAAGAUUCUGAUACCUGCUGGUCAUACACUCAUUUUACUGGCGGAAAACAGUGGAGUGAACAACAAACAAACUAAAACAUGAAGGGAAAAAAAGGAGAGAAAAAGGAUGUAUGCAACCCAGCAUAGAAGAUAAAUGUAUCUUCUUGUUGCUAUUGGAGCACUCAGAGGCUGCAGUCUAAAUAGAUAUGACAUGACACAGUGCUUGCCCCAAAGAGUUAAUUGUGUCCACAUUCACACAGCUGAUAAAAAGCCAAACUCAGGUUGGCAUGAGCGGGCACAAGUCCCAUUGACUUCAGCAAGAUUUGCACUUUCUUACGAUCCAGGAUAUCGUAAUUCCACGUCCAUCUCUACUUCUGAGUAAACUUUCACUUUCAUCAAAAAGAAAUGAUGCAAGCCAAAGCUAACUUAACUGUGGGGAGGAGGUUUCUUCAAAGCUCUUCAAGAUGAUGUGUUUGAGUGGAAGUAGGAUGCCAGACUUUGAAAAAAUUCUUUCAGGGUGAGAGGAGAGGUUGUGGCUAGAAGAAAGAAAAUUAAAAGCACACAUAUGAUCUCUGUCAUGACCUCCUAUGACAAUUACAGUCCACUGGAACUAUAGAACAUCUGCCUCAAGUGUGAAACUCAUGUGAGCAGGAGACAUAGGAAACAGAGCCAUGAAUUUAGAGUUCAUUUACAGACGAGAUCAGGUUGACCACAAACUUGAGUGACUGCAGAGCAAAAUCCAAACUCCACUUUUCCCAGGUGAGAAAAAGGUUAAUUUGCUGGAGAAAAUCAUGUCUGUGCGAGAGAAGGUCAGUUUGCUCCAUCAUCAUGUACUGCCGUCUGAAGCUGACCUGAACCCACACAACUUGGUUGAAUGGAAAAAUUAGACAUUUUUUUUUCAGCAUAGUGCCUGCAGAAUUUCUGUUUUCUCCAAGGGUUUUCACACGUUCGCCAGAAAGGAAGAACUGUAUGACCCAUUUCAGUUACUCUGAUGUCUCAUUACCCAGUUCAGCAUCAGUAGCCCAAUCUCAUUCCGAAUGACGUAAAAUUUCUGAUAGCUGACUAUUGCAUUCUAAAACUACUAAUUUAAUCCUAAAUUGUUCCAGACUCAUGAUUUCUCCAAUCCUCCACUAGACCAUGGACCAAAACAACCCCUGGUAUAGCACAGAAUAGCUAAUGUGCUUUUUAAGUUGCUGUGAUUAGCACAAUCCCUCAGAACUAUUUUGCUGGCCCAUGACCAGGCAACGUGCUGGAUGCUCCAGGCUCACCACUCCUGCUCUUGCCACGACCACCCCACGAAGGAUGAAUGCUUGAAACUCACAGUGCCAUCAAUGGGAGUAGUAAUUCUGAAGAGCACCUUUCAGGACCUGCCCCCUUGUAAAUUGAUGGUAUUAGAAAUAGUAAAUAAGUGAGUGAAUAAGUACGAUGGUCUGAGAAGAAAUAAGAUACAUCAAGUGGGACCCUACCAGCAAAUGCUCUAGACAUCUGUGGGCUAGACUUUGAGGUAAAAACAUGGCAUCAAAUGUAAAUCUUAGUGACAUAAUGAGCCAAAUCCUGUUAGCCUUUCUCAGUAACUUCAAUGGGACUAUCUGUACGGGAUAAGGCCAGGAGGAUUUGCCCCAAAAAUGAUUUCAUGGCACACUGGUGGAAUCAAUUGCAUGAUAAGAGCACUUUAUCAAAAACCGAUAAAGAAUUGCUUCUCCAACAGAACAUGUUUAUAUUAAAUGUAACAGAAGGUGUAUGUCUAUUUAAUGUAUCUAUCUGCCUGUCUAUUUUGCAUCCAGCACCCACGGUAUCUGAACACAGCAAAAUGAUUAAGCAUACUGGCAAAUUGAAAGACUGUAUUCUCCACCCUUUCCUUGUAUGCUCCAUGGAGUGUUCUUGACUUUUCCACCCCACAUAUUUAUUUAUUUGCCUUUCCUCUCAUCUAUCUAUGUUCAUAUAGCAUGAUCAUCACAUGACUUCUGAGCAUCUAUUUUUAAUUUUAUUCUAUCUUCAGGAAUGAGAAUAUGGGCUGUGCUUGGAAUGUUACAGCAUUAGAAAGCUAUUAGAAAGAGAGGAGAUAAAAUAUUGUAACUACAUUUUUGUUUAGUUAAUUACAUUUUUCAACUUUGUGUUGAGGUUAAAAACUGGUGUUACCUGGGCAUAUUAUGUAUAUCCUACCCAUAUUUGUUGAAUUGACUAUUUUAAUCAUUUUUAUUAUUGCUAUGCAGUAUUAAAUUAUGGCAUCAUUGAUAUCACUGUUAUGUUUUGUUCCUCUUCUCAGUUGAGCAGUUUGGGGUAGAUUAUUUCAUAUUAUUUUGCUUUAAGAUAAACUCCACUCCUGCAAACCCUUACUGGUAUGCUUAGCCAUAGACUUCAACAGGGUGAGCAGACUUUCAUGACACAACUUGCAUGAAUAAAUUACUCACAUUGGUUCGCAGGAUUGGUCCCCAAGAAUCUGUCUUAUGAACUAAACUUCUAGGAGUUCAUCUGAAAUCUUGGUAAAAUGUGAGAUGUAACAUAACAUCCAUAUAUGACAAUGUCCAGUCCAGUUAUGUAAAUUCAUGUAUUACGUGCAACUAGUUCAAAUAAGAUGUUCAAGAGUAUAUUAAAGCAAUUAAAGCAUAAGGGAAAUUCUAAUAUUCAGAUUACAAUCUGACAGCACUUGGGCUCCAGUUCAUGUAAUCAAACCUAUUCAGGGCAGAAUUUAAGCAUAUGCUGGGACUUAAGUACCUACUUAAGUGCUUUCCUGAAUCAGGACCUGGAUGUUUUAAUGAAGAUUCUAACAGCAUUGCAGAUUAAAAGGAACUUCAUAAAUGUGCAGUUCAUAAAAUUCGAGGACUACUGUAUAUUCUCAUUGCUCUGAGCAAUGAAUACACACAAUUCCCAUUAAGAUCAAUGGAAUAAUUGUAUAUUGAUACAUCUGGGUGUAGGUUAGAAGGGAUACCUGCCAUUGUAUUUCAGCAUUAUCUUAAUUUUUGGAAGUGGUGAACUAUUUUUGCUGCAUUGUAGCCUGGGAACUGGAAAUGCUGCUCACCACCCUCAGGCAAGGAAAGGGCCUCCUAUGGCAUGCUUACUUUUAAACCUAAGCAGGAUUUAAGGACUGGCUCCAACCUUGGCCUGCCUGUAAGCCUGAGACCCUACUCUAUGCAGUAACUCCGAAUUUCCAUUGUCACACUGGGGCAAUGCUUUGCAAUACAGAGGGUUCAUCAAAAUCAUAGUUUUGAUGAGAAUAUUUUUGUUGUUUGACUUUUUUCUUAUUCUAAGUCUGAUUUACUGGAUCUGACUCCUUUAUUGCAUGAUCUGCUGAUUGAUGCCAAUAAAAUGUUUCA
Molecule: long non-coding RNA, 3843 nt
Organism: Dermochelys coriacea (leatherback sea turtle)
Lineage: Eukaryota; Metazoa; Chordata; Testudines; Dermochelyidae
Exons: 8
Source: RefSeq, a predicted model, not a curated record